GGAGAAAUACCCAAGAGGUCGAAGGGGCUCCCCUGGAAAGGGAGUAGGUCGUGAAAGCGGUGCGAGGGUUCGACUCCCUCUUUCUCCG
This is a transfer RNA of 88 nucleotides. It matches the Rfam family "tRNA". From Rfam's summary of the family: Transfer RNA (tRNA) molecules are approximately 80 nucleotides in length. Their secondary structure includes four short double-helical elements and three loops (D, anti-codon, and T loops). The record is from Rfam.